GACGAACGCUGGCGGCGUGCUUAACACAUGCAAGUCGAACGGUAAGGCCCUCGGGUACGACGAGUGGCGAACGGGUGAGUAACACGUGGGUGAUCUGCCCUGCACUUCGGGAUAAGCUUGGGAAACUGGGUCUAAUACCGGAUAGGACCACGGUCUGCAUGGAUUGUGGUGGAAAGCUUUUGCGGUGUGGGAUGGGCCCGCGGCCUAUCAGCUUGUUGGUGGGUGAUGGCCUACCAAGGCGACGACGGUAGCCGGCCUGAGAGGGUGUCGGCCACACUGGGACUGAGAUACGGCCCAGACUCCUACGGGAGGCAGCAGUGGGGAAUAUUGCACAAUGGGCGCAAGCCUGAUGCAG
Molecule: ribosomal RNA, 355 nt
Filed under: uncultured bacterium
Lineage: Bacteria
Description: bacterial SSU rRNA
Rfam family: Bacterial small subunit ribosomal RNA
Source: RNAcentral